Molecule: long non-coding RNA, 1298 nt
Filed under: Canis lupus familiaris (dog)
Lineage: Eukaryota; Metazoa; Chordata; Mammalia; Carnivora; Canidae
Description: lncRNA (ENSCAFG00030000383.1)
Source: RNAcentral
UGGGGGCGGGGGCGGGAAGGCCCGGAGGAAGGGGCUGCACGCCUGUGCCCGGGUGGCGUCUGGGGACCAGCCUGCAGCGGGCACCGUGCGCCUCGUCUCUGUGAUCUCGGAGGAGCCCGGACGUGCCGUCCCCUUCGUGCGGGGACUCUCUGCUCCUCCUGUGGCUGCGCCUCUUUGCUUGCAGAGCCAAGCUGCUGGCGGGGUGUAUGUGCAUUGAGCCAGAGCUGCAGAAUGGGGUCCCCCCGGCCACCCUCUGCCCCUCACCGUGGGGGGCUCCGUGUCCCGGUGCAGAGCGGUGUCCGGCCUUGGAGCCGCUGGGCCUGCGCUCACCUUGGCGGCUCCGGGCCAGUACCACAGACCGGCCCUUAGUCCCGCGUGGUAGGUAGCGCCCUGGCUGCCUGUUCCAGCAGCGGAGGUGAGAGAUUUAAGGGAAUAUUUUAAUCUGAAAUCUUAGCAGCACGGGCACGAGAGUGGCGUGGUGGCCGGGGCUGCAGCCGACGUAUUUAUGGUCCGGGGCUGACCAUCCAACGCCUGAGUUCUGGUCGUCCCUUCCGACGGAGAGCUCAUCACUCUCCCUGUUUAUGAUUUCAAUUCCUGUCCUUCCAUGGGGUUGCGGUGAAUUAGCUCAGUGCCAUUUUCUAAAAUAUCAAGCAUUUUUAUACAUUAGGUAUAGUGAAUGGCAAAUACUUGAUGUAAAGUCUGCAGUUUUACUCCAUAACCAGAUUGUAAAAUAUGAACUGAAUUAAUCAUAACUGCGAAGACUAAUGGUACGUUUUCUCUUAUUUUAUCUUUAGUGCCUUUCAGAUCAUGUUUUAAAACCUUCCACGCCUGGCGUUGGGAACGCAGCCGCGGCUUGGUGGUGGAUAGCAAGAGGCAAAGGCAUAGCUCUGUACGCCUGGUAGAGAGCGCAGAGGAUGAGCCCGGAAAGAUGCAGCUCAGAGGAUGAGCCCGGAAAGAUGCGCUUCGAUUGUAGGAGCUGGGGCAGGAAGGGCCCGCUGCCCUCGCCCGGGAGCCUAGCCUUGCGGGUGCCUGGACUUCGCGGCCCUGCAUCCCCCCUGCCGUCCCCACACUGCAAAGACCACAAGCUUCUGAGGGGAGGAACCAGCCAUUCGAAUUUUCUCAGGUUCCUCCUCCCCCUCCGCCACCGGGGCUUACGAAAUGCAUCUCGAGACUCCUGCAGAAGCCAGCUUUCUGCAGCCACCGUCAGAUCCCUGCGCAAUUUAUCUGGAUUCCGUCCGUGGUGGCCAGACUGGAUUUUGAUAAAGAGCCGCAAAUCUAUCCCUCUCCAGCUUCUGUGA